RNAcentral lists this ribosomal RNA (326 nucleotides) under uncultured eukaryote. RNAcentral's name for it is "partial 18S ribosomal RNA". It matches the Rfam family "Eukaryotic small subunit ribosomal RNA", at positions 1470 to 1796 of the family's 1831-position model. The record is from RNAcentral.
CCCUUAGAUGUUCUGGGCCGCACGCGCGCUACGCUGAUGCAUUCAACGAGUUCCUACCUUGGCCGAGAGGCCUGGGCAAUCUUUUGAACUUGCAUCGUGAUAGGGAUAGAUUAUUGCAAUUAUUAAUCUUGAACGAGGAAUUCCUAGUAAACGCAGAUCAUCAAUCUGCAUUGAUUACGUCCCUGCCCUUUGUACACACCGCCCGUCGCACCUACCGAUUGAAUGGUCCGGUGAAGCCUCGGGAUUGUGGUUAGUUUCCUUCAUUGGAAGUUAGCCGCGAGAACUUGUCUAAACCUUAUCAUUUAGAGGAAGGUGAAGUCGUAACA